Molecule: ribosomal RNA, 492 nt
Filed under: uncultured bacterium
Lineage: Bacteria
Description: partial 16S ribosomal RNA
Rfam family: Bacterial small subunit ribosomal RNA
Source: RNAcentral
AGUGAACGCUGGCGGUAGGCCUAACACAUGCAAGUCGAACGGCAGCACAGUAAGAGCUUGCUCUUACGGGUGGCGAGUGGCGGACGGGUGAGGAAUACAUCGGAAUCUACUUUUUCGUGGGGGAUAACGUAGGGAACCUUACGCUAAUACCGCAUACGACCUACGGGUGAAACCAGGGGUUCUUCGGACCUUGCGCGAUUGAAUGAGCCGAUGUCGGAUUAGCUAGUUGGCGGGGUAAAGGCCCACCAAGGCGACGAUCCGUAGCUGGUCUGAGAGGAUGAUCAGCCACACUGGAACUGAGACACGGUCCAGACUCCUACGGGAGGCAGCAGUGGGGAAUAUUGGACAAAGGGCGCAAGCCUGAUCCAGCCAUACCGCGUGGGUGAAGAAGGCCUUCGGGUUGUAAAGCCCUUUUGUUGGGAAAGAAAAGCAGCAGGUUAAUACCCCGCUGUUCUGACGGUACCCAAAGAAUAAGCACCGGCUAACUUCGUG